UGGGGAAUAUUGCGCAAUGGGGGCAACCCUGACGCAGCAACGCCGCGUGCGGGACGACGGCCUUCGGGUUGUAAACCGCUUUCAGCAGGGAAGAUAGUGACGGUACCUGCACAAGAAGCCCCGGCUAACUACGUGCCAGCAGCCGCGGUAAUACAUAGGGGGCGAGCGUUAUCCGGAUUCAUUGGGCGUAAAGCGCGCGCAGGCGGCUCUUCAAGCGGAACCUCUAACCCCGGGGCUCAACCUCGGGCCGGGUUCCGAACUGGAGGGCUCGAGUGCGGUAGAGGCAGGCGGAAUUCCCGGUGUAGCGGUGGAAUGCGCAGAUAUCGGGAAGAACACCGAUGGCGAAGGCAGCCUGCUGGGCCGGCACUGACGCUGAGGCGCGAAAGCUAGGGGAGCGAACAGG
Molecule: ribosomal RNA, 403 nt
Filed under: Verrucomicrobiota bacterium
Lineage: Bacteria; Pseudomonadati; Verrucomicrobiota
Description: Verrucomicrobia bacterium partial 16S ribosomal RNA
Rfam family: Bacterial small subunit ribosomal RNA
Source: RNAcentral